Molecule: ribosomal RNA, 497 nt
Filed under: uncultured bacterium
Lineage: Bacteria
Description: partial 16S ribosomal RNA
Rfam family: Bacterial small subunit ribosomal RNA
Source: RNAcentral
GAUGAACGCUGGCGGCGUGCCUAAUACAUGCAAGUCGAGCGAACAGACGAGGAGCUUGCUCCUCUGGCGUUAGCGGCGGACGGGUGAGUAACACGUGGAUAACCUACCUAUAAGACUGGGAUAACUUCGGGAAACCGGAGCUAAUACCGGAUAAUAUAUUGAACCGCAUGGUUCAAUAGUGAAAGACGGUUUUGCUGUCACUUAUAGAUGGAUCCGCGCCGCAUUAGCUAGUUGGUAAGGUAACGGCUUACCAAGGCAACGAUGCGUAGCCGACCUGAGAGGGUGAAUGGGCACAAUGGAACUGAGACACGGUCCAGACUCCUACGGGAGGCAGCAGUAGGGAAUCUUCCGCAAUGGGCGAAAGCCUGACGGAGCAACGCCGCGUGAGUGAUGAAGGUCUUCGGAUCGUAAAACUCUGUUAUUAGGGAAGAACAAAUGUGUAAGUAACUAUGCACGUCUUGACGGUACCUAAUCAGAAAGCCACGGCUAACUACGUG